RNAcentral lists this ribosomal RNA (250 nucleotides) under uncultured prokaryote. RNAcentral's name for it is "partial 16S ribosomal RNA". It matches the Rfam family "Bacterial small subunit ribosomal RNA", at positions 524 to 773 of the family's 1533-position model. The record is from RNAcentral.
UACGUAUGGAGCAAGCGUUAUCCGGAUUUACUGGGUGUAAAGGGAGCGUAGGUGGUGUGGCAAGUCAGAUGUGAAAGCCCGAGGCUCAACCACGGGACUGCAUUUGAAACUGCCAUACUAGAGUGCAGGAGAGGUAAGUGGAAUUCCUAGUGUAGCGGUGAAAUGCGUAGAUAUUAGGAGGAACACCAGUGGCGAAGGCGGCUUACUGGACUGUAACUGACACUGAGGCUCGAAAGCGUGGGGAGCAAAC